AAAUUUGGACAAGACACUGAAUUUCUGUUGGCCAGAAUUUUCUCAUUUGUAUAAUUAAGGAAUUGGAUUAGAUGAUCUUUAAGAGCCCUUCCAGCUCUGAUAUUCUAACAACUAUGUAAAAUCCUGGGUUGAAACUGACAGGUGUUAUUCCUAGUGUUUAGUAUGUUAGCAUCGCAGUAUUAGAGACUUGAUAAAGGCAAACAAAGUUGUAGGUAGCUUAUGAAUUGUUAAAGCACGCUGGAUAAAGAUGAUAGUUUAAAGUUUUUCUUUUGAUUUCUGUAACUGUGACAUGCCCCUACUCAGAACAGAAAUUUAAUGUUUAGCUGCUGCCAAGGAAUAAAGUAUUUAAUUAACAUCAUGAGCUACUUUUAGUGAAUAUAAAUGCCCUCCAAUCAAAAUCUUCCUCCUCUAGAGAGAUUUGAAGAGGAGUAGGCUCUGGCUCCCCAAUGGCAAAAGAUACCAUGGCAGGGUGGAAAAUGGAGUCACUCAGCUGCUUAUGUUAUUUGACAACUGCCCCCCGCCCCCAGCAAAUGACUGAUCUGACUGGUCUUUCCCAUGAAAUGGACUGUUCUUUGGGCUCAGAGGGAGCCUGACCUGUAAUUCUUAGGGAGGGAAGAAAAAAAGAAAAAAACAUCAUGGAGGGGGGAUUUGUUUGGAGCUUGUGGGCUGAAGGGCAAAGAAGACUGGAGAGGGANNNNNNNNNNNNNNNNNNNNNNNNNAGAGGAAAAUGAUUGGAGAGGAAAAUGAGUUUGAGACAAUUGGUACUUCAAGUGGUCACAGAAAACUCAGAGAUGGGAGAGAGGCACAUCAUUUCCCAGAGUCACUUGGGUCUUGGUUCUUCAGCUAACAAAGCACAAAAGAUGCCCUCUCUUCACUGCCUUCCUCCCUCUUUCUGCCCACCACGGCUGCAAUCAGAAGAGCUGAGCGGCUGAUGAGUUUCGGUAAUAGAUGGUGAUUACUUGCAGGAGAGUGGCUCUCUGUUCCUUCCUUUUCUCUGUGUUUUGAUUGUUUAAGUUUUUUUUUUCUUUUCAAAAAGAAAAACGUGCAAAGAACCCAACCAUCCCAAAACAAAGGAUUCUUUGAACUCCUCCUUUCUCUCUACUCCGAACCAGAUUGCCUCGCUUUUCUAUAAAGCUCUCCCGUGCUUUGUAAUACUAAUGAUGAUAAUGGUAAUAAUGAGCUCUUAU
This 1187-nucleotide long non-coding RNA is filed under the name Capra hircus (goat). RNAcentral describes it as "lncRNA (ENSCHIG00010027330.1)". Lineage: Eukaryota; Metazoa; Chordata; Mammalia; Artiodactyla; Bovidae. The record is from RNAcentral.